This 468-nucleotide ribosomal RNA is filed under the name uncultured bacterium. RNAcentral describes it as "partial 16S ribosomal RNA". It matches the Rfam family "Bacterial small subunit ribosomal RNA", at positions 28 to 507 of the family's 1533-position model. The record is from RNAcentral.
GACGAACGCUGGCGGCGUGCUUAACACAUGCAAGUCGAACGGACAGGCCCUGCUUUUGUGGGGUGCUCGAGUGGCGCACGGGUGAGUAACACGUGAGUAAACUGCCCCUGACUUUGGGAUAACUUCAGGAAACUGGGGCUAAUACAGGAUAGGAGCUCCUGCUGCAUGGUGGGGGUUGGAAAGAUUCGGCGGUUGGGGAUGGAAUCGCGGCUUAUCCGCUUGUUGGUGGGGUAGUGGCUUACCAAGGCUGUGACGGGUAGCCGGCCUGAGAGGGUGACCGGCCACAAGAGUACUGAGAGACGGCCCAGACGCCUACGGGACGCAGCAGUGGGGAAUAUUGCACAGUGGGCGGAAGCCUGAUGCAGCAACGCCGCGUGCGGGAUGACGUCCUUCGGGUUGUAAACCGCUGUCGCCGGUGACGAAGCGGGAUUGACGGUAAUGGGUAAAGAAGCACCGGCUAACUACGUG